This 89-nucleotide non-coding RNA is filed under the name Pseudomonas moorei. Lineage: Bacteria; Pseudomonadati; Pseudomonadota; Gammaproteobacteria; Pseudomonadales; Pseudomonadaceae. The record is from RNAcentral.
CUCUAUGGCGGCUGUGUGCGGGAGACCUUCGGGUCUGCCGGUUUCAGUCUCUUCUCCGGUCUGCGAACCCGCACAUGGCUGCCACCUUU